GGUUUUUCCAUGAAACGGAAGUCCGGUGAAAAUCCGGCGCAGACGCGCUACUGUAACCGAUAAAUACCGGUCUGAACCACUGUAAAAACGGGAAGAUUCAGACAUAAAACGGGUCGGAAGCCAGGAGACGCCAU
This 134-nucleotide non-coding RNA is filed under the name human gut metagenome. The record is from RNAcentral.